AUAAUAUCAGUAAUCAAUGUACCUCACACAGCCAGAGUAUAUCUAGGCCUGGUGUGGUGAGAGGGCUGGAGACCAGCUCUCUGCUUAAACCUGCUUCAGCUGGCGUAUUUGGAUUUGUGCUUAUGGACGUUAAAACUGGAGAAUUGAGCUUCAGACACCAACAAGUCAGCCAAGACUCCAAAGGUCCAGGAGGUAAAUGAAGCUUUUAAGCAGGGAGGAGGGAAGGGGGACUGCUGAAAAGAUUAAUUGACUUUCUGUGGAGCUUCACUUAUCCUCCGCUGGCACCUUUGACUCGUGUUGAUUUACAAGAACACAGGAAGAGGUGUGGCGGGCUUUGUGUAAAGGUA
This is a long non-coding RNA of Poecilia latipinna (sailfin molly), 347 nucleotides long. RefSeq lists it as uncharacterized. NCBI's taxonomy places the organism in Eukaryota, Metazoa, Chordata, Actinopteri, Cyprinodontiformes, Poeciliidae. The record is from RefSeq and is a predicted model, not a curated record. The transcript is spliced from 3 exons.